This 509-nucleotide long non-coding RNA is filed under the name Brassica napus (rape). RNAcentral's name for it is "long non-coding RNA (BNAP_LNC006005)". The record is from RNAcentral. Lineage: Eukaryota; Viridiplantae; Streptophyta; Magnoliopsida; Brassicales; Brassicaceae.
AUCGGGACCUGAAAGUUCUAUUGAAGUAUGAAUUGGUUGUUUUUCCUAUGGGUGACCAAGUGAAACAGUGAUAGGGUUGAUGCUUGAGAUGAUUUGUUUCCUUGUAUAGAAUAACAAAACAAAUCUUCAACAAUAAGAAAUCACUCGCCCAUAUCAAUUGGUUACAAAAGUAAAAGGAUGUGCUUGCAUCUAUAACAAUUAUCUUUCUUUUACUGGACCAACAUUUUCUUCCGUUAAAAAUUUCUCACAAUUUUGUAUAACCAGUUUUUUCUUUAAAAGUGAUAUUAGACGGCUCCGUUUUCAAAAAUUGUUAUUUUGCUUGUAAAACAAGUUAGAAUCAUUUUCUCCAAAAUAAUAAGUUUGAUCAUAGAGGACGUAUUGUUUUCAUCAACUGAAAGAAAAUAACGUAGAGAAAAAAAAAAACAUUCGAACAUGUAGAGCCUUAACUGUAUGUCCUUUGGGGGAAAAAAACAGAAUGAUGUGUAAUGAAAAGAAUCGACGUGGGCUUA